CAGGGAGGUAGUGACAAGAAAUAACAAUACGGGGCUUGAAGUCUUGUAAUUGGAAUGAUGGGAAUUUAAACCCCUUCCAGAGUAUCAAUUGGAGGGCAAGUCUGGUGCCAGCAGCCGCGGUAAUUCCAGCUCCAAUAGCGUAUAUUAAACUUGUUGCAGUUAAAAAGCUCGUAGUUGAAUUUCUGCUGCAUCGUGGUUCUUCGCUAUGUCGAGUGAUCUUCGUUGUGGCUUAGUUGGGGCAUGUUUUCAUGACUCGACGUUUACUUUGAGAAAAUUAGAGUGCUUCAAGCAGGCUUUUGCCUUGAAUACUUUAGCAUGGAAUAAUGGAGUAGGACUUUGGUUCUAUUUUGUUGGUUUUAGGAGCCGGAGUAAUGGUUAAUAGGAACAGUUG
RNAcentral lists this ribosomal RNA (391 nucleotides) under Theileria equi. Its description in RNAcentral is "SSU rRNA". It matches the Rfam family "Eukaryotic small subunit ribosomal RNA", at positions 457 to 884 of the family's 1831-position model. The record is from RNAcentral. Lineage: Eukaryota; Apicomplexa; Aconoidasida; Piroplasmida; Theileriidae.